Molecule: non-coding RNA, 28 nt
Filed under: Homo sapiens (human)
Lineage: Eukaryota; Metazoa; Chordata; Mammalia; Primates; Hominidae
Source: RNAcentral
UUCAAGACCUCCUGCCAGGCCUGGCAUC